Molecule: ribosomal RNA, 253 nt
Filed under: uncultured bacterium
Lineage: Bacteria
Description: partial 16S ribosomal RNA
Rfam family: Bacterial small subunit ribosomal RNA
Source: RNAcentral
UACGUAGGGGGCAAGCGUUGUCCGGAAUCAUUGGGCGUAAAGCGCGUGUAGGCGGUCCGGUAAGUCCGCUGUGAAAGUCGGGGGCUUAACCCUCGGAUGCCGGUGGAUACUGUCGGGCUUGAGUACGGAAGAGGCGAGUGGAAUUCCUGGUGUAGCGGUGAAAUGCGCAGAUAUCAGGAGGAACACCAAUUGCGAAGGCAGCUCGCUGGGACGUUACUGACGCUGAGACGCGGAAGCGUGGGGAGCAAACAGG